RNAcentral lists this ribosomal RNA (497 nucleotides) under uncultured bacterium. RNAcentral's name for it is "partial 16S ribosomal RNA". It matches the Rfam family "Bacterial small subunit ribosomal RNA", at positions 28 to 507 of the family's 1533-position model. The record is from RNAcentral.
GAUGAACGCUGGCGGCGUGCCUAAUACAUGCCAGUCGAGCGAACAGACGAGGAGCUUGCUCCUCUGAUGUUAGCGGCGGACGGGUGAGUAACACGUGGAUAACCUACCUAUAAGACUGGGAUAACUUCGGGAAACCGGAGCUAAUACCGGAUAACAUGUUGAACCGCAUGGUUCAACAGUGAAAGACAGUCUUGCUGUCACUUAUAGAUGGAUCCGCGCCGCAUUAGCUAGUUGGUAAGGUAACGGCUUACCAAGGCAACGAUGCGUAGCCGACCUGAGAGGGUGAUCGGCCACACUGGAACUGAGACACGGUCCAGACUCCUACGGGAGGCAGCAGUAGGGAAUCUUCCGCAAUGGGCGAAAGCCUGACGGAGCAACGCCGCGUGAGUGAAGAAGGUCUUCGGAUCGUAAAACUCUGUUAUUAGGGAAGAACAAAUGUGUAAGUAACUAUGCACGUCUUGACGGUACCUAAUCAGAAAGCCACGGCUAACUACGUG